GCCAACCUUUUUUUUAAACCUCAUUAGCUAUCGUUAGCGUUAGUGUAUUCUAUGUGUGGCCCAAGACAAUUCUUCCAAUGUGACCCAGGGAAGCCAAA
This is a long non-coding RNA of Sapajus apella (tufted capuchin), 98 nucleotides long. RefSeq lists it as uncharacterized. Lineage: Eukaryota; Metazoa; Chordata; Mammalia; Primates; Cebidae. The record is from RefSeq and is a predicted model, not a curated record. The transcript is spliced from 4 exons.